ACAAAUGUAAAUUAGGUAAGAAUAGUAUCACAUAUCUUUUUCGAACUUUGAGUAAUAGCCAUGUGCUAGGUUCGUAUUUCGGUCCGUUACGGAUUGCUUUUAUGUAAAUAUUGAAAUAUCUAUAGAAAAAUCAUUUGAAUUGUCAAUUAACAAAUCGUUGUUUUGUAGAGUUUAAGAGAGUGUAAAUGUGAGAAAAAAUGAGUUUGAGGUAGUUUAAGAGAGUGCGAGAGUGAAAUAGAGUGUAAUAGGAGAGAAGAUGAGUUUAAAAACCCAUGAGAAAGGGCUCUAACGGUCAUUUUGACCAUUGGAGCAUUGUUACAGAUCGGUAACGAUCAAAAUCGACUGUUAUCAUCCAAUAUACCCCCAUAUCAUCCGAUACGGGACGAUAUUGAGCGUUCCGCUUGGUACCGAGCCGUCCGCAUAUCGGUAUGCUGUCGGACCGGUACGUACCGUCCGUCGAAAUUAAAAACCCUACUUAAACCUUUUUUUUUCCAUUAAUACUUUUUUAUUUUAUUUUGUUUUUUCACCCUGCUAGGUGGUUUGUUCGAGCACAUUGUUUUGAGUAACAUCAUAUCAUCAUAAUAUGGCCUUUAUGAUGAUGAUUUUGGAGGAACUUAUUGGACUAGCAAUUUUGGUCUUAUUUAUCUUGUGCUUAUGUGAACUAACUUGGUCUCAAGUAAAUUCCUUGGCCUGUAAGCCAAUAGUUCAUGCCAUGCUGAUGCCCUCUCUAAGAGUUGCCCUUAAGAUAUAUAUUCUGCCCAAAUUUGGAUUAUUUUAUAAGGCGCUUGGUUAAUUUCUCAUAUUAAACCACAAACAAAGUUGAGUUACUCAUUUAGAGGAGAAUUUAGAUUAUAAAGAUUUAGUAUAUUUGAGCCUCUUAUACUAUUAAUGUUAAAAGUCUAUUUUGGAUGAUAUGCUACAAUCGGGUAGGUGCUUUUGUUGAGAUCUUUGUCCAGGUUAUAUGCAUCUGCUAUAUCUGCAAACAAUAUGCAGCUUGGACAUUAUCUUUUUAGUGAUGUUCGUUACCUAUAUGGCAUAAAAACUAUUUUCAAAAUGUAAUUUUAAGUUAAAGAUUAUUAGGAGCAAAGAUUUUGCCUUGAAAUAUUUAUUGGUCUCAUGUUUGUUUAUUGGGCCAUUGUUUGGUACUUCUCAUAAUUUAAUUGGCGAAGAAUAUUUUUGUGCUUUAAAUAAUUCUUUAUUUUCUAAGCAACUAUUUUAGAGAAAAAUUCUCAGCCUUGGACUGAUCUGGUAGUUUUUUCACUCAAAUAGUGUCAUAAUCUGAACUGAGUGAUGUAACGCAUGAUUAUGUUCAUUGACCGGGCAGAAUUGCAUGUAUUGACAAUCUGGGCUAGUGAAUCAGCACCAGGUGGAUGUUAUGUACAGAGAGUAUUUCAUCGGAAGAAAACUACCAGGGUACUGUAGUCAGUGAAUGAAACUGAAGUGGGACAUGGAUUGGAUGCCAAGAUGAUUGCUCUGAUGAAAAUCAAGGAAAGCAAUAGCAGCAAAAAAGAGGAAAAAUGUAGAAGACGAAGAAGUUGAGUAUGGUGUGAUCCGUAAGAGGGUAAAAGGACCAAGAGAUUGAAAUGGCAAUAACAUGCAGAAGCUGAGGAGCAUGAUACAAAGAAAAAUAUGAGCUGAUCAAAGAGCUUGACCAUUUUUCUUUUUUUUUGUGUUAAUUUUCUUUUCAAAGCUGGUCUUAUGAUUCUGAUGACCAUAUCUACUGAAGUUUUUAAUGUUUAAUCUCUCCAAAGAGAACCUUGUAUACGUUUAACUGUAUAUGGAGCAGUGAUUAUUUUGGGAUCGACUAUUACAUGGAAAGAUGCAAAUUUGGAUUUU
Long non-coding RNA from Musa acuminata subsp. malaccensis (wild Malaysian banana), 1836 nucleotides. RefSeq lists it as uncharacterized. Lineage: Eukaryota; Viridiplantae; Streptophyta; Magnoliopsida; Zingiberales; Musaceae. The record is from RefSeq and is a predicted model, not a curated record.